UGCUCUUCUUGGAUGAGUUGCGAACGGGUGAGUAACGCGUAGGUAACCUGCCUUGUAGCGGGGGAUAACUAUUGGAAACGAUAGCUAAUACCGCAUAACAAUGGAUGACACAUGUCAUUUAUUUGAAAGGGGCAAUUGCUCCACUACAAGAUGGACCUGCGUUGUAUUAGCUAGUAGGUGAGGUAAUGGCUCACCUAGGCGACGAUACAUAGCCGACCUGAGAGGGUGAUCGGCCACACUGGGACUGAGACACGGCCCAGACUCCUACGGGAGGCAGCAGUAGGGAAUCUUCGGCAAUGGGGGCAACCCUGACCGAGCAACGCCGCGUGAGUGAAGAAGGUUUUCGGAUCGUAAAGCUCUGUUGUAAGUCAAGAACGGGUGUGAGAGUGGAAAGUUCACACUGUGACGGUAGCUUACCAGAAAGGGACGGCUAACUACGUGCCAGCAGCCGCGGUAAUACGUAGGUCCCGAGCGUUGUCCGGAUUUAUUGGGCGUAAAGCGAGCGCAGGCGGUUUGAUAAGUCUGAAGUUAAAGGCUGUGGCUCAACCAUAGUUCGCUUUGGAAACUGUCAAACUUGAGUGCAGAAGGGGAGAGUGGAAUUCCAUGUGUAGCGGUGAAAUGCGUAGAUAUAUGGAGGAACACCGGUGGCGAAAGCGGCUCUCUGGUCUGUAACUGACGCUGAGGCUCGAAAGCGUGGGGAGCGAACAGGAUUAGAUACCCUGGUAGUCCACGCCGUAAACGAUGAGUGCUAGGUGUUGGAUCCUUUCCGGGAUUCAGUGCCGCAGCUAACGCAUUAAGCACUCCGCCUGGGGAGUACGACCGCAAGGU
RNAcentral lists this ribosomal RNA (828 nucleotides) under Streptococcus thermophilus. RNAcentral's name for it is "bacterial SSU rRNA". It matches the Rfam family "Bacterial small subunit ribosomal RNA", at positions 79 to 894 of the family's 1533-position model. The record is from RNAcentral. Lineage: Bacteria; Bacillati; Bacillota; Bacilli; Lactobacillales; Streptococcaceae.